UGGAAAGGGCCCAUAAGCUGAGAUC
Molecule: non-coding RNA, 25 nt
Filed under: Rattus norvegicus (Norway rat)
Lineage: Eukaryota; Metazoa; Chordata; Mammalia; Rodentia; Muridae
Source: RNAcentral